This 469-nucleotide ribosomal RNA is filed under the name uncultured organism. RNAcentral's name for it is "partial 16S ribosomal RNA". It matches the Rfam family "Bacterial small subunit ribosomal RNA", at positions 332 to 797 of the family's 1533-position model. The record is from RNAcentral.
UACACUCCUACGGGAGGCAGCAGUGAGGAAUAUUGGACAAUGGGUGGAAGCCUGAUCCAGCCAUCCCGCGUGCAGGAAGACGGCCCUAUGGGUUGUAAACUGCUUUUAUCUGGGGAUAAACCUACUUACGUGUAAGUAGCUGAAGGUACCAGAAGAAUAAGCACCGGCUAACUCCGUGCCAGCAGCCGCGGUAAUACGGAGGGUGCAAGCGUUAUCCGGAUUUAUUGGGUUUAAAGGGUCCGUAGGCGGACUGAUAAGUCAGUGGUGAAAUCCGACAGCUUAACUGUCGAACUGCCAUUGAUACUGUUAGUCUUGAGUAAGGUUGAAGUGGCUGGAAUAAGUAGUGUAGCGGUGAAAUGCAUAGAUAUUACUUAGAACACCAAUUGCGAAGGCAGGUCACUAAGUCUUAACUGACGCUGAUGGACGAAAGCGUGGGGAGCGAACAGGAUUAGAAACCCGUGUAGUCCCA